RNAcentral lists this non-coding RNA (737 nucleotides) under Cicadellidae sp. 'Neodcortus squaras'. Lineage: Eukaryota; Metazoa; Arthropoda; Insecta; Hemiptera; Cicadellidae. The record is from RNAcentral.
GUAUAAGUUUGAUUCUGGCUUAUUUUUAAUUUUUUCAAGAAAUUAUAUGUAUAAAUAUUUAUUAAAUAAGUUUUCUUCAGUAAUAAAAAUUAUUAAAUAUAUUAAUUUAUAAUUUAGUCAAAGAAUAAAAGUAGAUUAAUAUUGUGCCAGCAUUCGCGGUUAUACAAUUUACUUAAGUUAAUCUCUUAAAGUUCACAAUGAAUAUUGAGAUAAUUUAUAAGUGACUUAUUUAGGUGAAAUUUAUUAGUUAAAUUAAUUUUUAUUUUUUUUUUGUGAAAUUUAUAUAUAAACUAGGAUUAGAUACCCUAUUAUUUUAAAAGUAAAAUUUAUUGACAAGAAUAUUAGUAGUUAUGUUCUAUAAAACUCAAAGAAUUUGGCGGUAAUAUAUCUACUUAGAGGAACCUGUUUUUAUAUUGAUAAACCACGAUAGUUAAUACUUUACUUAUUGACUUGUAUACCGCUAUACAUAGAUUGUUUUGUUAAAAUACUUUCAUUAACUUUAAAGAAAAAAGUUAGGUCAAGGUGCAGUUUUAGUAAAGUUAAAAUGGGUUACUGUAAUUUUAAAUUUAUAGGAUUAAAUAUUUAAAGUAUUUAAGUAAAUAGGAUUUAAUAAUAAAUCUAAUUAAUUAAUUAGGUUGAAUAAAGCUCUAUAUUAUGUACAUAUCGCCCGUCACUCCUAACUUAAUUUAGGAUAAGUCGUAACAAAGUAACCUUACUGGAAAGUGAGGUUAGUCCGU